This 465-nucleotide ribosomal RNA is filed under the name uncultured bacterium. Its description in RNAcentral is "partial 16S ribosomal RNA". It matches the Rfam family "Bacterial small subunit ribosomal RNA", at positions 28 to 507 of the family's 1533-position model. The record is from RNAcentral.
GACGAACGCUGGCGGCGUGCUUAACACAUGCAAGUCGAACGGAAAGGCCCUGCUUGCAGGGUACUCGAGUGGCGAACGGGUGAGUAACACGUGGGUGAUCUGCCCUGCACUUCGGGAUAAGCCUGGGAAACUGGGUCUAAUACCGGAUAGGAGCCAUUUUUAGUGUGAUGGUUGGAAAGUUUUUUCGGUGUAGGAUGAGCUCGCGGCCUAUCAGCUUGUUGGUGGGGUAAUGGCCUACCAAGGCGGCGACGGGUAGCCGGCCUGAGAGGGUGGCCGGCCACAUUGGGACUGAGAUACGGCCCAGACUCCUACGGGAGGCAGCAGUGGGGAAGAUUGCACAAUGGGCGCAAGCCUGAUGCAGCGACGCCGCGUGGGGGAUGACGGCCUUCGGGUUGUAAACUCCUUUCGCUAGGGACGAAGCUUUUUGUGACGGUACCUAGAGAAGAAGCACCGGCUAACUACGUG